Non-coding RNA from Paramuricea clavata, 100 nucleotides. NCBI's taxonomy places the organism in Eukaryota, Metazoa, Cnidaria, Anthozoa, Malacalcyonacea, Plexauridae. The record is from the annotation of a GenBank genome assembly.
CUGUACCAGUGGCAGUGUUGGUAGUACCAAUGUGAAAAUGCUGUGCUGAAUAACCACUCAGCACAGCAUUUUCACAUUGGUACUAGCAGAAACUCGACGU